Molecule: ribosomal RNA, 287 nt
Filed under: uncultured bacterium
Lineage: Bacteria
Description: partial 16S ribosomal RNA
Rfam family: Bacterial small subunit ribosomal RNA
Source: RNAcentral
GGAUUAGAUACCCUGGUAGUCCACGCCGUAAACGAUGCUAACUCGUUUUUGGGGUUUCGGCUUCAGAGACUAAGCGAAAGUGAUAAGUUAGCCACCUGGGGAGUACGUUCGCAAGAAUGAAACUCAAAGGAAUUGACGGGGGCCCGCACAAGCGGUGGAUUAUGUGGUUUAAUUCGAUGAUACGCGAGGAACCUUACCAAGACUUAAAUGGGAGUGGACAGGCUUAGAAAUAGGCCCUCCUUCGGGCCGCUUCCAAGGUGCUGCAUGGUUGUCGUCAGCUCGUGCCG